This 250-nucleotide ribosomal RNA is filed under the name uncultured bacterium. RNAcentral's name for it is "partial 16S ribosomal RNA". It matches the Rfam family "Bacterial small subunit ribosomal RNA", at positions 779 to 1036 of the family's 1533-position model. The record is from RNAcentral.
UAGAUACCCUGGUAGUCCACGCCGUAAACGAUGGAUACUAGCUGUUGGGAGCAAUCUCAGUGGCUAAGCGAAAGUGAUAAGUAUCCCACCUGGGGAGUACGUUCGCAAGAAUGAAACUCAAAGGAAUUGACGGGGGCCCGCACAAGCGGUGGAGCAUGUGGUUUAAUUCGAUGAUACGCGAGGAACCUUACCAAGGCUUAAAUGUAGAUUGACCGGUUUGGAAACAGAUCUUUCGCAAGACAAUUUACAA